Molecule: small nucleolar RNA, 142 nt
Organism: Lagenorhynchus albirostris (white-beaked dolphin)
Lineage: Eukaryota; Metazoa; Chordata; Mammalia; Artiodactyla; Delphinidae
Product: small nucleolar RNA SNORA48
Exons: 1
Source: RefSeq, a predicted model, not a curated record
CCCCCUGGCAGUGGGCAAAGAGACACCUGAUGGGUGGCGCUGCUCUUACAUCAGUCUGGGCAGAGGAGUGCCCAGCCCUUUGUCCGGCCCAGCUUGGUGCCUGGGCUGGUGGCCAGGGCUGUUUCAUGCUUGAGGCACAUUA